AAAAAAACAAACUCUGAAUUUUUGUGUCCAACGUUUGACUGUCCGUCUUAUUUAAAAAAAUUAUGAAAAAAAUUAAAAAGACAAGUCACGCAUAAAGUAUUAAUCAUGUUUUAUCAUCUAACAACAAUGAAAAUACUAAUUAUAAAAAAAUUUAUAUAAGACGGACAGUCAAACGUUGGACACAGAAAUUCAGGGUUUGUCUUUUU
RNAcentral lists this microRNA precursor (206 nucleotides) under Oryza glumipatula. RNAcentral describes it as "MIR812 microRNA precursor family". It matches the Rfam family "MIR812 microRNA precursor family". The record is from Rfam by way of RNAcentral. Lineage: Eukaryota; Viridiplantae; Streptophyta; Magnoliopsida; Poales; Poaceae.